Haliotis rubra (blacklip abalone) is the source of this 2697-nucleotide long non-coding RNA. RefSeq lists it as uncharacterized. The transcript has 2 exons. NCBI's taxonomy places the organism in Eukaryota, Metazoa, Mollusca, Gastropoda, Lepetellida, Haliotidae. The record is from RefSeq and is a predicted model, not a curated record.
GGUAGUUUGUAUGUAGUUAUUUUAUAUUUGUAAAUAUUUACUUAUGUUAUCAUUGUAAACUUUGUUUGUUCUGAAUUUAUCUUUGUAUGAAACAAAUGAAUUACUCAUCUAGAUGUAUUUUUUCUGGUAAUGGGGAACAUUCCUCAGUUAUCCCCCUUUACGACUUCGCCAAGAGGUGGGGCCAAGCACUACGAUCCUACGCGUACUUCCGGUAUUUCGAAACUGUUCAGAGAAGUGUUUACACUGCUAAGUAAAAUGUUUUACUGAAGUUCGAGCGAGUCCGAUAUACUCCCUUGAGUGUUCAAACCCGCUAUUGUUGGACCGUAACUACCGCAGUGCCCCAAGCGGGCAAGGGGGUGCAACUCCAGGAAUGUUCCCCAUUGGAUAGAUUUAGUUUCUGAUGUUGGAUGUAGUUGCUAAUGCCAUAAUUACGAGUAUUAUGAGUGGAUAUGGGUUCUUAAAUUGAUAAACCUAUGAGCAACGAUCUGCGCAAUUGGGAACCGAUGACAUGUGUCAAACAAGUCAGCGAGCCUGACACCCGAUCCCGUUAGUCGCCUCUUACGACACGCAUGGGUUACUGAAGAUCCAUUCUAACACUCACCAACACGGGUGAAGUAUCAUCGUUGUUGAUAAUAUGUUACUAAAGCUUAUAGUACUUCGUUUAUAUCAAAUUUGGAAAGAUAGAAUAAUGUUUCCUUUGUGUAUGCAUUGAAUGUUAUAAUCACGUGAUCUUUGAACCAUGAUAAUAUCUCUCUUGUUUAGCAAAUGCAUAUAUUUGUUGUUUUUUCCAAAUCCAAACAUAUCAAUGGUAGACUCCUGGUUUCGAAUAUCGUAUAUUCAAGAAAUAUUAAUGUUAAGGUUAACUUAUUAUUUUAGCUUGGGAUUCAACAAGUAAAUAAGGGUUAACUUAUUGUUUUAGCUUGGGAAUCAACAAGUAAAUAAUGGCUAACUUAUUUUUUCGCUUGAGAAUCCACAAGUAAAUAAUGGUUAACUUAUUGUUUUAGCUUGGGAAUCAACAAGUAAAUAAUGGUUAACUUAUUGUUUUAGCUUGGGAAUCCACAAGUAAAUAAUGGUUAACUUAUUAUUUUUCGCUUGAGAAUCCACAAGUAAAUAAGGGUUAACCUAUUGUUUUCGCUUGGGAAUCAACAAGUAAAUAAUGGUUAACUUAUUGUUUUCGCUUUGGAAUCAACAAGUAAAUAAUGGUUAACUUAUUGUUUUCAGCUUUGGGAAUCAACAAGUAAAUAAUGGUUAACUUAUUGUUUUAGCUUGGGAAUCAACAAGUAAAUAAUGGUUAACUUAUUGUUUUAGCUUGGGAAUCAACAAGUAAAUAAUGGUUAACUUAUUGUUUUAGCUUGGGAAUCAACAAGUAAAUUAAGGUUGACUUAUUAUUUUCGCUUUGGAAUCGACAAGUAAAUAAUGGUUUACUUAUUGUUUUCGCUUUGGAAUCAACAAGUAAAUAAUGGUUAAAAUUAUUGAUUCCGCUUGGGAAUCAACAAGCGAAUAAUGGUCAAGUUAAUAUUUUAGGAUUGGAAUCAACAAUUGAAUAAUGGUUAACUUAGAGUUUUCGCUUGGGAAUCAACAAGUAAAUAAUGGUCAAGUUAUUAUUUUCUAGCUUGGGAAUCGACAAGUAGCUUAAGGAUUAACCUAUUGUAAUAAUAAUAAGUUAACCCGAAAGUUACUUGGUGAUUCCCAAUCUAAAUCAUGUCAAAACAUGAAACAACAAAGAAAUGUGAUACACUUAACUAUGGUAUUUUAAAGUUAACCAAAGUUAACAAAUCUAUACAACUCACUGUGUGGAUGUUGGGUAUAGAAUGUUAAAUCUUUAGUAUUAGCUAUGACGUUUUACAUUAUCUUCAUGUUUCUGCGGUUGUUUGACCGCAUCGUGCCUUUGCUGAUAUUCCAGGUUUGUAAUAAGAUCGCGCCAUUUCUGUUUCAAUUUAUUGUACUGUCUAACGCUGGAAUAUGUAUUGUGAUAUGCCUUUUAUAGUAUAGGAAUACCUACACUGAAAACAUAUACUGAUAACAAAUGCUGAUGUAUGAUAUUCAGUCAUAUUCAAUUUGCCGUUUGCUAAUUAUGAUUGUAUAAAAUACUUAUCCUUAUAAAGAUUAUACAGGUAGGGUGACAUUUAUACCUACUAUGACAGAAUGAUCCAUGUAAUUAUCCAAGAACGUUAUCCAUUAUCCAAGAAAGUUAUCCAUUAUCCAAGAAAGUUAUCCAUUAUCCAAGAAAGUUAUCCAUUAUCCAAGAAAGUUAAAAAGAAAGUUCUGGCCAUUCAAUCGGAUCCAUCACACCUUUUAAAUGAAUGUUAUGAAUUUCUGCUUUCUGGCCGCCGUUUCAAAAUCAUGUAUUACAAAACUAAUAGAACUUCAAAAUCAUUUGUCCCAUACAGCAUAAAACUUCUAAAUUUUCCUCCAAAAUUGUAAUAGUGAAAUCAAUGAUGUGGCACGAGUGAUUAUUAUAUUAUGUACUUUGAUUAUGAUUCAUCAUUAUAUUGUGAUUAGCUUGACAUUGUAUAUACAGUCGAGCACCGUUGUCUCGAUAUUCAUUGAACCAAGAAAAAAAUAUCGAACUUCGAGAUAUCAGACCAUGGCAUAUCAUAACACAUAACUAUGUAUGUUUUGAUACGAAUCUAUAAUCCAUUAUCGGUAGUAUUUAGUCGUAACAUGAGUACUUCGUAAUUAAAUCCUUCUUAAUUA